Molecule: ribosomal RNA, 429 nt
Filed under: Acidobacteriota bacterium
Lineage: Bacteria; Pseudomonadati; Acidobacteriota
Description: Acidobacteria bacterium partial 16S ribosomal RNA
Rfam family: Bacterial small subunit ribosomal RNA
Source: RNAcentral
UGGGGAAUUUUGGACAAUGGGGGAAACCCUGAUCCAGCCAUCCCGCGUGUGCGAUGAAGGCCUUCGGGUUGUAAAGCACUCUUGGCAGGAAAGAAACGUCAUGGGUUAAUACCCCGUGAAACUGACGGUACCUGCAGAAUAAGCACCGGCUAACUACGUGCCAGCAGCCGCGGUAAUACGUAGGGUGCAAGCGUUAAUCGGAAUUACUGGGCGUAAAGCGUGCGCAGGCGGUUCGGAAAGAAAGAUGUGAAAUCCCAGAGCUCAACUUUGGAACUGCAUUUUUAACUACCGGGCUAGAGUGUGUCAGAGGGAGGUGGAAUUCCGCGUGUAGCAGUGAAAUGCAUAGAUAUGCGGAGGAACACCGAUGGCGAAGGCAGCCUCCUGGGAUAACACUGACGCUCAUGCACGAAAGCGUGGGGAGCAAACGGG